AAGAGAGGAAAGUACCCUUUAGGACUAUUGAUUGCCGCCUCAGCAAAGAGAACCACAGUGACACAGGGAUAAGAAGAGAAGCAGUGUAAUUUUGUGCUGUUGGCUGUUCCACGCGAUGAAACUAUAAUUCACAAAGUGAUAGAUAACAGAAGGGAUGCAUUGGCCUCUCAUACUUCAGUUUAAUGUUCCAGUGAUGGUUAUAUAAUCUGCCAGUAUACCUCCAAAGUAGCAAAACAAGGUUAUUCACAGAUCAGUAGGUUUUCCAGCUAAUACAGGUC
This is a long non-coding RNA of Suricata suricatta (meerkat), 278 nucleotides long. RefSeq lists it as uncharacterized. Lineage: Eukaryota; Metazoa; Chordata; Mammalia; Carnivora; Herpestidae. The record is from RefSeq and is a predicted model, not a curated record. The transcript has 4 exons.